This 68-nucleotide transfer RNA is filed under the name Pomacea maculata. Its description in RNAcentral is "tRNA-Phe". It matches the Rfam family "tRNA". From Rfam's summary of the family: Transfer RNA (tRNA) molecules are approximately 80 nucleotides in length. Their secondary structure includes four short double-helical elements and three loops (D, anti-codon, and T loops). Further hydrogen bonds mediate the characteristic L-shaped molecular structure. tRNAs have two regions of fundamental functional importance: the anti-codon, which is responsible for specific mRNA codon recognition, and the 3' end, to which the tRNAs corresponding amino acid is attached (by aminoacyl-tRNA synthetases). tRNAs cope with the degeneracy of the genetic code in two manners: having more than one tRNA (with a specific anti-codon) for a particular amino acid; and 'wobble' base-pairing, i.e. permitting non-standard base-pairing at the 3rd anti-codon position. Lineage: Eukaryota; Metazoa; Mollusca; Gastropoda; Architaenioglossa; Ampullariidae. The record is from RNAcentral. RNAcentral also lists the same sequence under 1 other name.
ACUCAAGUAGCUUAAAAUUUUAAAGCAUAGCACUGAAGAUGCAAUGAUAGUUGUUAAACUCUAGAGUA